UACGUAGGGGGCAAGCGUUGUCCGGAAUCAUUGGGCGUAAAGGGCGCGUAGGUGGCCCGGUCAGUUCGUGGUGAAAGCGCGGGGCUCAACCCUGCGUCGGCCAUGAAUACUGCCGCGGCUGGAGCACUGUAGAGGCAGGCGGAAUUCCGGGGUGUAGCGGUGGAAUGCGUAGAGAUCCGGAAGAACACCGGUGGCGAAGGCGGCCUGCUGGGCGAUGUCGUGACACUGAGGCGCGACAGCGUGGGGAGCAAACAGG
This 256-nucleotide ribosomal RNA is filed under the name uncultured bacterium. RNAcentral's name for it is "partial 16S ribosomal RNA". It matches the Rfam family "Bacterial small subunit ribosomal RNA", at positions 524 to 776 of the family's 1533-position model. The record is from RNAcentral.